Molecule: ribosomal RNA, 301 nt
Filed under: uncultured bacterium
Lineage: Bacteria
Description: partial 16S ribosomal RNA
Rfam family: Bacterial small subunit ribosomal RNA
Source: RNAcentral
CAGUAGCCACGGGAAUACGCGGGUGGCAAGCGUUGUCCGGAAUUAUUGGGCGUAAAGGGCUCGCAGGCUGUUUCUUAAGUCUGAUGUGAAAGCCCCCGGCUCAACCGGGGAGGGUCAUUGGAAACUGGGAAACUUGAGUGCAGAAGAGGAGAGUGGAAUUCCACGUGUAGCGGUGAAAUGCGUAGAGAUGUGGAGGAACACCAGUGGCGAAGGCGACUCUCUGGUCUGUAACUGACGCUGAGGAGCGAAAGCGUGGGGAGCGAACAGGAUUAGAUACCCCGGUAGUCCCUGUCUCUUAUAC